AAUCAAUCAUCGGUUUAUAUCUC
This 23-nucleotide small nuclear RNA is filed under the name Arabidopsis thaliana (thale cress). Its description in RNAcentral is "snRNA_11873". The record is from RNAcentral. Lineage: Eukaryota; Viridiplantae; Streptophyta; Magnoliopsida; Brassicales; Brassicaceae.